RNAcentral lists this ribosomal RNA (253 nucleotides) under uncultured bacterium. RNAcentral's name for it is "partial 16S ribosomal RNA". It matches the Rfam family "Bacterial small subunit ribosomal RNA", at positions 524 to 776 of the family's 1533-position model. The record is from RNAcentral.
UACGGAGGGGGCUAGCGUUUUUCGGAAUUACUGGGCGUAAAGCGCACGUAGGCGGUCUUUUAAGUCAGAGGUGAAAGCCCGGGGCUCAACUCCGGAAUUGCCUUUGAAACUGGAAGACUUGAACACGGGAGAGGUGAGUGGAAUUCCGAGUGUAGAGGUGAAAUUCGUAGAUAUUCGGAGGAACACCAGUGGCGAAGGCGGCUCACUGGACCGUUGUUGACGCUGAGGUGCGAAAGCGUGGGGAGCAAACAGG